UUUAAAGAAAGCGUAACAGCUCACUGGUCUAAAUAAGAGGUUCUGCGGCGAAGAUGUAACGGGGCUAAAGUGAUGCACCGAAGCUUAGGGUGUGACGUAAGUCACGCGGUAGCGGAGCGUUCCGUAAGCCUGUGAAGCGAUCUGGUAAUGGGUCGUGGAGGUAUCGGAAGUGCGAAUGCAGACAUGAGUAGCGAUAAAAAGGGUGAGAUGCCCUUUCGCCGAAAGACCAAGGGUUCCUGCGCAAGGCUAAUCCGCGCAGGGUGAGUCGGCCCCUAAGACGAGCCCGAAGGGGGUAGUCGAUGGGAACACGGUUAAUAUUCCGUGACCUGGUGGUGUGUGACGGAUCUCGUGUGUUGUCUUUCCUUAUUGGAUUGGAAAGGCUUCGAAGAGGUCCCAGGAAAUAGCCCCACCGUAUAGACCGUACCCGAAACCGACACAGGUGGUCAGGUAGAGUAUACCAAGGCGCUUGAGAGAAGUCUCCUGAAGGAACUCGGCAAAUUGCCUCCGUACCUUCGGAAGAAGGAGGCCCCAACUAAGCGCAAGCUCUGUUGGGGGGCACAGGCCAGGGGGUAGCGACUGUUUAGCAAAAACACAGGGCUCUGCGAAGCAGCAAUGCGACGUAUAGGGUCUGACGCCUGCCCGGUGCCGGAAGGUUAAGAGGAGAGGUGCAAGCUUUGAAUCGAAGCCCCGGUAAACGGCGGCCGUAACAAUAACGGUCCUAAGGUAGCGAAAUUCCUUGUCAGGUAAGUUCUGACCCGCA
Molecule: ribosomal RNA, 760 nt
Filed under: Gloeochaete wittrockiana
Lineage: Eukaryota; Glaucocystophyceae; Gloeochaetales; Gloeochaetaceae
Description: partial Bacterial large subunit ribosomal RNA
Rfam family: Bacterial large subunit ribosomal RNA
Source: RNAcentral